AUACAUUGUGGCUGAAUCCACUUCAAGUUGGGGUUUUUUUGGGGGUUUUUUUUGGUUGGGUUUUUUUUUUUUUUUUUGCCUCUCACAAAGGAGAAUCCCAGAUACCUAGAGGCCAGAGGUCCAGGGCGAUGGGUGGGCUGUGUCGGGGCCCGGCCCAGCCUGGCCUUCCGACAGCAUCCAGGCAGGCCCUCUUUCCCUCCACCGUCUUGGAUGGGCUUAAUUUAUUGUAGGAAACCCUUGAAGGCGCAGGAGCUUUUGGAGAGCCGGGGACAAUAGGCAUAAAGCAUGCAUUUAAGCCGUCUGAAUGGAGGCUAGAUUUACUGUCUGGGCCAGACGGGAUUUUUGUCCCCAAGUCAUCUCGGAGUACAUUGGCCACUAAAGAUCUCAACAGAAGACGAAGACGGAACAAAAGAAGUAAAUUUUAAAAGGAACUUUGUCAAGGAGUUUUAGAUGUUCACCAGAUAGAAAACCGCGGCUGCCCUCACCGAAAUGACUUUUGGAUUUGCCCAGUGGUUAUGGAUCAGAGGAAGAUGCUAAUGAAGUCGUUUAAAUGCACGUUUGAUGGACCCCAGAGAAUGGGACCAAUUUCAUACAAGCCCACAGCAAGGUUAAGGAAUGAAAGAAGGUGGCCGUUAGAGUUGCUGCCGGGGACAAGGCUCCAUUGUCGGGGCUGCCUUUUUCAGCCGUGAAGCGUGAAGCGUGUUUUGAACUACAGUGUUUACCAACGUGUACAUCCUAGUCUGGCCGACCGGGCCUGCAGAAUUUAUGACCAGGAACAAACCUCUUAGAGGGGAAAAGAAAACAGCUCUUACCAGCUGGGAAAGGAGCUCAGAUCAUGCCCUGGAGAAGCAGGUGACAUCGCGGAAUUUUCCUGUUCCAGAUGCCAGAAGUCUGAAAUGAAGGUGUAAAGCAGGGUGGUUCCUUCUGGAGGCUCUGAGAGAAUCACCCCAGGCCUCUCUCCAGCUUCUGGUGCUGGUAUUCUCAGGCUUGUAGGCGCAUCACCCAUGUCUGCCUCCAUCUUCACAUGGCCUUCUCCUCUGUGUCUGCCUGAAGUCUCCCUUCAUUUCUCUUUGCUGGCUUGUGUUUGACACCAUGCCUGACACAUUGGGGGUGCUCAGUAGACCUGUGUGAGAUGGACAGCCUCCCGUACAGAUGGACGGACAGAUGUACAGGUAGGUGAAUGAACUUUCGUUGCCCCUAAAGCAGGAGAGACUCUGAGUUUCUGAGACAACGGCCAAGAACUUUCUGAUAAGAUCUCUGCAUUUAAGGUUCAGAAAAACUCGAUGAGGACAAUAUUUUUCUCCCGAUUUUGCAGAUAAGAAAAUAGAGGCAUAGAGAAGUCACUUGCUAGUAAAUGUUAGAGGCAGCUUUCUAACCCAGGUCCAUGUGAACCCAGAAAAAGAGGCAGUGAGCACCUGUUCACCCAGGAGCAGCUCUCAGAAGAUAAGAUAAUACGAGGAGGAGGCAGCAGACCCCUAUGCCACGCGUCCACCUGGGGCUGUCCAUCACUUCCUGCAAGAUCUUGCUGGUAGCCAGAUUCUCAGAGACCCCCAGUGAGCCCCGCCUCCUGGUUUUCACACCCUGUGUAGUUUCCUUUCCCCAGGGAUGGUCCAAGUGACCAGCAGCCCGUGGCAGAAGUGAUGGAAUAGCACUUCCAAGCUUAGGUUAUGAAAGAUUGCAGCUUCAAUCUCCUGCCCCACACCCCGUCUCUCUCUCUAACCCCACUCCCUCCCUCCCUCUCUCAUCUCUGACUCUGGGGGAAGCACACUGCAGCCCCGUGGAGAUGCCCUGUGUAAGCCACUGAAGCCUCUGGCCAACAGCAGUGGGAACCUGAGACGUGUCCACAAGCAUGCAUGGGAGCUUGGAAGUGGAUCCUUCAGCCCCAGCCAAGCCUUCAGACGAUGCAGCCUCAGGGACAGUAUGACUGCAGCCUCAUGAGACCCUGAGCCAGAAACACCCCUCCAAGCCACUCCCAGAUGCCUGGCCCUCAGAACCUGGGAGGUAAUAAAUAUUUAUGGCUGUUUGAAGCUGCUGUAUCGGGGGACAAUUUGUUACACAGUAAUAGCUAACUGGUGCAGUCCUGGGACUCUUAGCAGUUUGGAGUAUCAGUUAUUUUGCCAAGGCGGGGAAGUUAACAGUGGUCAUUGCAGCAGCUGCACUUGGGGACCACAAUAAAGAAGCUUUCUCAGACUGGUUUGAACAAAGUGGUGAAUUCUCUGCAAGGACACAGAGGUGUCUCUCAAAACCCAAGGAUGGGACAGCAGGCCUCAAGAAGAACUGGAACCUCUGUCCCUUCUGUGCUUCUUUUUACUCCUGUGUUCUCUGCUUCUUGGAGCACUUGGCAGUUGGGAAGUGGCCAUUUCAAUUCUCGUGGUCAAGAAACCAGCUCAGAAAUAACCCAACCAACACAGGUGGGGUCAGGUGUCCAUCCUGGCUCCAUUUGUCAUGGCGGGAGAUGGUGAUGAAGAGAAACAUCCAGGACCAUUGGUAGGGCACCCGAAUGAGAUUCCAGGAGAGGCCAGUUCUAAGAGAAGGGUACUAGAAAGAUACCCAUUGAAGUCAAUACCACAUGUGGCACAUCCUCCUUUCAGGUGGCAAGUGUGUAGCCAAAGCAAGGUUCAGGGUCCAUAUUUGAAAGUCAGAAACUGAAUAAACUGUUUUCUCCCACCCCGAGCACUGUGGGGAACUCUGCUCACAAAUCCACCAUCCACCAUCACCAGCCGUGCUCAUCUGACCAUUCAUGCAGGCUCACACUUGACCUGAUGUGGGUUCUGUCUCCUUUGCUUGAGAAUUGAAAGGCCUGGGAGAUGCAAAAGCUUUAGGCUCCAGCCAUCUCCCCAUGUCAGGUAGGCCUUUUGCCUAGUGUAUCCAGUUGGUAAUGCUGCAGAGAUGCAUGAAGCUGGAGUCAGAGGCCACCUGUAGUGCUGCCCUGACUUCAGACCUGAGCCCAGCCCAGCAGCAGAGAGGGGGCUGGGAGCCAGAGGAGGCCUCACAGUAACAGCACAGACAGGUGGGGGCCCACAACAGGCCACAUGUGUUCAAACUCGAGUGUGGGCAGAGGAGCAUGGGAAGCUCAGAGCCCUGAGCUCACCCCACACCCAACACGAGUGGGGUCACCCAAAAUCAGCCUGUCAGCACUGUCCCAGCAGCCAGUCGCAUGCUACAUUAACAAAUUUUGCACAGGCCAGCAAGCAGGAUCGCUCACCAGCCACCCUCCUGAACUGGCCUAUGGGGCCCCAGGAUGAUGCCAUAGCCACAAGUCUGGAGUUCCUCAAAGUACCUGGUCAGCACAACUCAGUUAAACAAUGGGCAAAAGACCUGAACAGACACUUCGCCAGAGAAGAUGUACAGAUGCAAGUAAGCAUUUGAAAAGGUGCCCCACAUCGUAUGUCGUUAGGGAAUGGUCCAAUCCAGAACACUGAUGGCACCAAAGGCUGCUGAGCAUGUGGAGCAGCAGAACUCUCAUUCACUGCUGGUGAGAAAAAUGGCGCAGCCCCAAUAGGGAACCCUAAUGCAGACUCUGGACUUCACUGGAAAUGACGUGUCAGUGUAGCUGCGUCAGUUGUAACAAAUGCACCAGUCUGGUGGGCGUGUUGAUAACCGGGGCUGCGCACGUGGGGAGAGAGGACCUGUGGGAAUGCUCUACUUUCCACUCAUUUUUGCUGUGAACUUAAAACUGCUCUUACAAAAUAACAUUGUUUGUUGUUGUUGUUGUUGUUGUUGUUGUUGUUGUUUUUAAGUAUCUAGUCAGCUCCACACAUGACCCGGGCAGAGUGGGAAGUUGUAGAGUGCCCCAAGGAGAGAAAUGGAACCAGGUCUCAUGUGGGGCCAAGUGUGGGCUCCCUGUCCUCUCAGCUGGUCCCAGGAACUGAAGGGAAAUUUAGACAACUUGGAGAAAGACACUCUAGGGCUCGGGGCAAAGGGUGGUGUUGAUGAGAACCAUAUUUUUUUAUUGCUGGUGUAAGCACUUGUAUUUUUCUGAUUUUCCACUGGUUCGAUAAUAAGGGUAAAAGACAAUAAAGCAUACUUUUUAAGCUUU
Molecule: long non-coding RNA, 4039 nt
Filed under: Homo sapiens (human)
Lineage: Eukaryota; Metazoa; Chordata; Mammalia; Primates; Hominidae
Description: HSALNT0363562
Source: RNAcentral